Molecule: long non-coding RNA, 645 nt
Organism: Mauremys reevesii (Reeves's turtle)
Lineage: Eukaryota; Metazoa; Chordata; Testudines; Geoemydidae
Exons: 3
Source: RefSeq, a predicted model, not a curated record
AUUCAAAACCGAGCACAUACAUUUGUUUGAAGAUAGGCACAUAGAGAAGUAGUUUUAUAGUUUUUGGCUGAUUGCAGCUUGGACCCCCCCUGCAUAAUCUCCUUAAUAGUGCCCUUUGUUAGUCUUGGGCCUCCAGCCGGAGAGAGCCCCACCCCCUGCCCAGUCAGCGCUGCCACAUACAGGCUGGUGCUGAGGGCACAGGAAGCGGCUGCAGCCCUGAGAGCAGGGGCGGGACACUGGGAGGAGGGAGGCAGAAACUGGGGAGGACAAAAGCAGCGCGAUACUGCGUAGCCCCCCCCCCGCCGCCGCCCGGCUUAGCACCGGAUGCUGCUGCCUCCGUGUGAUCUGGGAGCCCGAGCUGGGCCACUGCUGCUUCCCCGGGUCCGGGGAGACCUGCAUUAAACCUCCUGUGCCCAGCCUGCGGUGCGGGAGGGAGUUUCUCCAGCGGGAAGCAGCCCCGGGCUUUGCCGACCCCAGUCUCUGAGCCGGAGACUCCAGGCUGCAGAAUAACAUCCAUGUUUUCCUCCAAAUCGUCUCAUCCUCCCAUGGAACACGGGGAAAAAAUGGCUGCAGUUGAGCCAGUCCAGGAACCGGUGACCUUCAAGGAGGUGGCUGUGUAUUUCACCAAGGAGGAGUGGGCUCUGC